Molecule: ribosomal RNA, 248 nt
Filed under: uncultured bacterium
Lineage: Bacteria
Description: partial 16S ribosomal RNA
Rfam family: Bacterial small subunit ribosomal RNA
Source: RNAcentral
CACGCUGUAAACGAUGUGUGCUAGACGUUGGGGGGUUGCCCUCCGGUGUCGCAGCUAACGCUUUAAGCACACCGCCUGGGGAGUACGGUCGCAAGAUUAAAACUCAAAGGAAUUGACGGGGGCCCGCACAAGCGGUGGAGCAUGUGGUUUAAUUCGACGCAACGCGAAGAACCUUACCAGCUCUUGACAUGGGUAGUAUGGACCUGGGCGACUGGGUCCUUCAGUUCGGCUGGCUACCACACAGGUGC